AAUGCAAUUCACAGUUCAGAUCCUCCCUUACUUCAGAUUGGAGGAAAAAAAAAAGUUUAAUAAAAUGCUGUGCAAUGUUGUAAGAGUGGGUCAGAAGAUCAGCAUUGUCUCAACACGGUCACUGGGGACAUGGACAGAGAGAUACCUGACAACGACCUGUUUGGAAAACAGUUGCUGAUCCCAAGAGUGGAAUGUGGUGCAAAGGCUCCUGAAUACAGAACUGUGUGGUACAAAGAGUGCUGUGCUGUUCUUGGGAAUACAGAACUGUGUGGCAUGAGUGCUGUGCUGUUCUCCUGAGCACUGACCGUGUGGUGCAGGCAGUGCUGGGCUGUUCUGUGGUGCCUGGGCUGUCUGCUACAGAGUGCUGUGCUAUUGUUUGGUACCUGGGCCCAGCCGGAGCCAUUAGAGAUAACCGCAUAGCCACUGUCAAAAAAGAUGGAUCGCAACUGUUGCCAUAACAUCAGUGAAGAAAUAAUGAAUUUUAGAUGAACUUUGCUUCAUUAUAAUACCAAAACACACCUCCUGGUUGAAGGCUGCCCGCCUCCAAGACUGACCACGCCUUGGACACUCCCCCUCAUGCAUGUGUGGGAGCCUCGCUUGAGAAGGGCGGAGAUAUGAUAAUUGCAUUCUGAGAAGGGCGGAGAUCCCUGAGGCAGAGGAGGAGCAAGGUGUGUCACUAAGCAUAAAAAAUGACUUCUGGGCAACAAAAAUUUGAAGCAUCCCCACCAAGAAUCACCGCGACUGACGACGGAGCGCUGGCUGGACCCGGGACCGUUGGGGCGUCUAGAGAUCAGCGGUGGUAGCUAUAACCUCUCUUUCUCUUCUUUCUAAACUUCACUUUUCCCCUUUCUUUCACCCAUCUCUAACUAUCGUGUGCCACUUCAUGGGCAACACAACAAAGUUUCACAGUUUGAUUGAUACAAUCCCCUUUGGUGUUGGUUGCCUUAAUUUUGCACUUUCGAGAUUGUAGUAAACGAACCAUCACGAGUCCACCAAGUGGACCGUGACAAAUACUCAAUUCUUUUCUGUGUCUAGAGAAAAUGCUUGGAUCACCUGUUUCUGAGUAUUACAAGAGUAUUUUCUAUGCUAGCAUGAUGAAAAUAAACUUGGAGAUUGAAAGCAAUGGAUUUGAGUUUUCUACUCAAGACCUCUUAAUGGGAAACAGCAUGUUAUCCUCAGUUAACCAACAAUGUGGUAAAUGUUAUUGUGAAAUAAU
Athene cunicularia (burrowing owl) is the source of this 1216-nucleotide long non-coding RNA. RefSeq lists it as uncharacterized. The transcript has 3 exons. The record is from RefSeq and is a predicted model, not a curated record. NCBI's taxonomy places the organism in Eukaryota, Metazoa, Chordata, Aves, Strigiformes, Strigidae.